This 106-nucleotide small nuclear RNA is filed under the name Dasypus novemcinctus (nine-banded armadillo). Lineage: Eukaryota; Metazoa; Chordata; Mammalia; Cingulata; Dasypodidae. The record is from RNAcentral.
GUGCUCGCUUCAGCAGCACAUAUACUAAAAUUGGAAUGAUGCAGAGAAGAUAGCAUGGCCCCUCUGCAAGGAUGACACGCAAAUUCAUGAAGCGCUCCAAAUUUUU